Molecule: non-coding RNA, 367 nt
Filed under: Cricetulus griseus (Chinese hamster)
Lineage: Eukaryota; Metazoa; Chordata; Mammalia; Rodentia; Cricetidae
Description: Eukaryotic small subunit ribosomal RNA
Rfam family: Eukaryotic small subunit ribosomal RNA
Source: Rfam by way of RNAcentral
GGAGCCUGUAGCUUAAUUUAACUCUACACGGGAGACCUCACCUUGACCAGACACAGACAGGAUUAACAUAUUGAUAGCUCUUUCUUGAAUUCAUGGGUGGUGGUGCAUGGCCAUGCUUAUUUGGUGGAGCGAUUUGUCUGGUUAAUUCCAAUAAGGAAGGAGACUCUGGCAUGGUAACUAGUUAAGUGACCCCGGAGUGGUCAGCAUUCCCAACUUCUUAGAGGGACAAGGGCAUUCAGCCACCUGAGAUUGAGCAAUAACAGGUCUGUGAUGCCCUUAGGUGUCCGAGGCUGCAUGCACACUACACUGACUGGAGAAGAGAGGGGGAACUUGGAUAGGAAUGUAAAAACUAUAUUGCUAAAAAGAG